AACGAACGCUGGCGGCAUGCCUAACACAUGCAAGUCGAACGAAGGCUUCGGCCUUAGUGGCGCACGGGUGCGUAACGCGUGGGAAUCUGCCCCUCGGUUCGGAAUAACAGUUAGAAAUGACUGCUAAUACCGGAUGAUGACGAAAGUCCAAAGAUUUAUCGCCGAGGGAUGAGCCCGCGUAGGAUUAGCUAGUUGGUGGGGUAAAGGCCUACCAAGGCGACGAUCCUUAGCUGGUCUGAGAGGAUGAUCAGCCACACUGGGACUGAGACACGGCCCAGACUCCUACGGGAGGCAGCAGUGGGGAAUAUUGGACAAUGGGCGAAAGCCUGAUCCAGCAAUGCCGCGUGAGUGAUGAAGGCCUUAGGGUUGUAAAGCUCUUUUACCAGGGAUGAUAAUGACAGUACCUGGAGAAUAAGCUCCGGCUAACUCCGUGCCAGCAGCCGCGGUAA
RNAcentral lists this ribosomal RNA (449 nucleotides) under uncultured bacterium. Its description in RNAcentral is "partial 16S ribosomal RNA". It matches the Rfam family "Bacterial small subunit ribosomal RNA", at positions 29 to 523 of the family's 1533-position model. The record is from RNAcentral.